Molecule: ribosomal RNA, 591 nt
Filed under: Flavobacterium sp. StRD342
Lineage: Bacteria; Pseudomonadati; Bacteroidota; Flavobacteriia; Flavobacteriales; Flavobacteriaceae
Description: bacterial SSU rRNA
Rfam family: Bacterial small subunit ribosomal RNA
Source: RNAcentral
ACGGGUGCGUAACGCGUAUGCAAUCUGCCUUUCACAGAGGGAUAGCCCAGAGAAAUUUGGAUUAAUACCUCAUAGUAUUAUUGGGUGGCAUCACUUAAUAAUUAAAGUCACAACGGUGAAAGAUGAGCAUGCGUCCCAUUAGCUAGUUGGUAAGGUAACGGCUUACCAAGGCAACGAUGGGUAGGGGUCCUGAGAGGGAGAUCCCCCACACUGGUACUGAGACACGGACCAGACUCCUACGGGAGGCAGCAGUGAGGAAUAUUGGUCAAUGGACGCAAGUCUGAACCAGCCAUGCCGCGUGCAGGAUGACGGUCCUAUGGAUUGUAAACUGCUUUUGUACGAGAAGAAACAACAUUACGUGUAAUGUCUUGACGGUAUCGUAAGAAUAAGGAUCGGCUAACUCCGUGCCAGCAGCCGCGGUAAUACGGAGGAUCCAAGCGUUAUCCGGAAUCAUUGGGUUUAAAGGGUCCGUAGGCGGUUUAGUAAGUCAGUGGUGAAAGCCCAUCGCUCAACGGUGGAACGGCCAUUGAUACUGCUGAACUUGAAUUAUUAGGAAGUAACUAGAAUAUGUAGUGUAGCGGUGAAAUGCUU